UUUUGGACAAUGGGGGCAACCCUGAUCCAGCAAUGCCGCGUGAGUGAAGAAGGCCUUCGGGUUGUAAAGCUCUUUUGUCAGGGAAGGAACGGUAAUAGCUAAUAUCUAUUACUAAUGACGGUACCUGAAGAAUAAGCACCGGCUAACUACGUGCCAGCAGCCGCGGUAAUACGUAGGGUGCAAGCGUUAAUCGGAAUUACUGGGCGUAAAGCGUGCGCAGGCGGUUGUGUAAGUCAGAUGUGAAAUCCCCGGGCUCAACCUGGGAAUUGCAUUUGAGACUGCACGGCUAGAGUGUGUCAGAGGGGGGUAGAAUUCCACGUGUAGCAGUGAAAUGCGUAGAUAUGUGGAGGAAUACCGAUGGCGAAGGCAGCCCCCUGGGAUAACACUGACGCUCAUGCACGAAA
RNAcentral lists this ribosomal RNA (404 nucleotides) under uncultured bacterium. RNAcentral's name for it is "bacterial SSU rRNA". It matches the Rfam family "Bacterial small subunit ribosomal RNA", at positions 362 to 758 of the family's 1533-position model. The record is from RNAcentral.